This is a long non-coding RNA of Esox lucius (northern pike), 1043 nucleotides long. RefSeq lists it as uncharacterized. The transcript is spliced from 3 exons. The record is from RefSeq and is a predicted model, not a curated record. Lineage: Eukaryota; Metazoa; Chordata; Actinopteri; Esociformes; Esocidae.
UAGAGUUUGAGUCAGUUAGUCAACGGGGGAUAGUCAAAGUCAAGGGUAAAUAUUUGAAAGAGAAAUCCCGUUGGUGCCGGUUUGUUGAACUGACACAAUCCUACCACAGGCUUCCGGGAUGUUGUGGUGAAGGUUCACGGUUCAUUGGAAAGGCUCGCCAUCUAUGGAUCAAUGGUUCACCUGAUAUGAUUCAAAAACUGAAGCUUGAAUCAUGUCCCCCAUGCACUUUUCCAUUAAACGCUGAAAAGUGUUGGACGCGUUUUGUGAUCCCCUGCAAUUCCACUCCCAAAAACCAAGAGGGCACACGAAUGCUGUCUUGUCUUUGUCACUCUGUCAUCGCAAUCUGGUAAUAGCCACUUUUCAGGUCCGUUACUGAAAACCACUGAGAUCCGCUCAGGGCUGAGAAGGAUUCCUCAAGAUUCGGUAAUGCAUACGCAUCUUUGAUCGUUUGCAUGUUUAAUCGCCAGUAGUCUACACAUAAUCUGACAUCACCGUUCUUCUUUUGAGUUCGACUAUUGGAGAUGCAAAAGGAGACUGUGAUUCGUGAAUGAUCCCUGCUUCAAGAAGAGACUGCAGGUGACGCCUCACUGCGUCAAAAUCCUGAGGAUGAAUAGGACGUGGGCAUUGCUUGAAAGGUGUCUCAUCCUUGAGUUUGAUUGAAUGUUUCACUUCUGUUGCAUGUCCGUAGUCGCGAUCGUGAUGAGAGAAAAUGUCUGAAAAUGUGUUUAACUUAUUUGUCAUACAAGCUUUCCACUCCUCGGUAUUUUGUAUGGGGCGUCUCUUAGGUCGUUAAUGAGACAACAUUCGACAAAAAUUCCCCCAGGAUGCAGGACCAGAACUUGUCCAGGCACUUGGCAUUUCACAUCUGGAAUAAUGUACCUCAUUCUUGUUGAGGUUCCCGGCUUGUGCAACCAAACCCCUGAAACUCAUUCAGAAUGCAGUGGGCCGCCUGGUGUUCAACCUUCCCAAGUUCUCCCACGUCACCCCUCUUCUUGGGCUUCCAGUUGAAGCCUACUUUGUUAAAGAGUAAUUAAAAUAGUUCC